This 861-nucleotide unclassified non-coding RNA is filed under the name Limulus polyphemus (Atlantic horseshoe crab). RNAcentral describes it as "uncharacterized LOC111087846, transcript variant X2". The record is from RNAcentral. Lineage: Eukaryota; Metazoa; Arthropoda; Merostomata; Xiphosura; Limulidae.
AAAUCACUAUCUAUUCACAACUAAUAAUCAUUUUUGCUGUGACAUAACCCUUUUAGCUCCACCCAGUUGACUAAACGUUGCAUCUACGAUUAAGGCGUGACAUCAACCAUGUACUGACCGCCAUCGUAAAGUUUACGCAGCAUCAUAUCAUGCUUAAAGCUUUCGCAGUUCGCGAUUUUGUCAGAAUGCUAAGUGACUCUCAUAUCUAACGGAUGCGCUUUUACAAGGAAAGACGAUAAACUGGUCGGUGGUAAUACAUCUACGACAAAACUCUGACCAGCAAAUGAGUUUGUGGACAACUAGGUUGCAGCCUACAGGACAUGUAAUGGUAUGUAAGUACAAUGGGGACAAUGAUUUCUAUCAGACCACUCGAAUAUAAAGGAACUUGCACAUGACAGAAAAUUCCGAUCACGAUGAAACUACAAUAGCGUGUUUGGAUGUGCUAGUAAUCAUGAUAUCACGGCUAUCAAUUUCAGCAUAUAAAAGUUAUCGGCAUUGUGUCAACCUGCUCCUGUGGCCAACCAGCCUCGGUCUCACCUCCACAGAUGAAAUCGUACACCUACUGAGGACGUUUUGGGAUGACUUAGUGAUGUUUCCUGUUGAGACCAUUUCCAGAGUAUUAGUGAAUUCUUUCGGCCAUACACCUUGAGAAAACUUGACAAGACAGCAGGCUAAGGUAAGGGGGGAAAAAGGCCAUCCCAUCUUUCUACCAUAACCCAUUGAAAAGAAAACAAUCAAAACAGAUUUGAUGAAAAUACAAUUCAGAUUUUGGAAAUCACUAAUUAAUGAAAUACUGCCUUAUUGAUCAAAUUAAGAUUGUAUUUUGUGUUUUGCAUACUUCAAUAUUGGUUCAACGAUUAU